This 441-nucleotide ribosomal RNA is filed under the name uncultured bacterium. RNAcentral describes it as "bacterial SSU rRNA". It matches the Rfam family "Bacterial small subunit ribosomal RNA", at positions 30 to 515 of the family's 1533-position model. The record is from RNAcentral.
CGAACGCUGGCGGCAGGCUUAACACAUGCAAGUCGAACGGGUGUAGCAAUACAUCAGUGGCAGACGGGUGAGUAACACGUGGGAACCUUCCUAGGGGUACGGAACAACUCAGGGAAACUUGAGCUAAUACCGUAUACGUCCGUGAGGAGAAAGAUUUAUCGCCCUUAGACGGGCCCGCGUCGGAUUAGCUAGUUGGUGGGGUAACGGCCUACCAAGGCGACGAUCCGUAGCUGAUCUUAGAGGAUGAUCAGCCACACUGGGACUGAGACACGGCCCAGACUCCUACGGGAGGCAGCAGUGGGGAAUCUUGGACAAUGGGCGCAAGCCUGAUCCAGCCAUGCCGCGUGAGUGAAGAAGGUCUUCGGAUUGUAAAGCUCUUUUGCCAGGGACGAUAAUGACGGUACCUGGAGAAUAAGCCCCGGCAAACUUCGUGCCAGCAGC